RNAcentral lists this ribosomal RNA (467 nucleotides) under uncultured bacterium. RNAcentral's name for it is "bacterial SSU rRNA". It matches the Rfam family "Bacterial small subunit ribosomal RNA", at positions 43 to 507 of the family's 1533-position model. The record is from RNAcentral.
CGCGCCUAACACAUGCAAGUCGAACGGAGAUUACGAGGUCGGAAGUUUCGGAUGGAAGCUUGUAAACUUAGUGGCGGACGGGUGAGUAACACGUGAGCAACCUGCCUAUCAGAGGGGGAUAACGAUUGGAAACGAUCGCUAAUACCGCAUGACAUAGCGGAAUCGCAUGGUUCUGCUAUCAAAGAUUUUAUCGCUGAAGGAUGGGCUCGCGUCUGAUUAGAUAGUUGGUGGGGGUAAUGGCCUACCAAGUCGACGAUCAGUAGCCGGACUGAGAGGUUGAACGGCCACAUUGGGACUGAGACACGGCCCAGACUCCUACGGGAGGCAGCAGUGGGGAAUAUUGCACAAUGGGGGAAACCCUGAUGCAGCAACGCCGCGUGAAGGAAGACGGUUUUCGGAUUGUAAACUUCUGUUCUUAGUGAAGAAUAAUGACGGUAGCUAAGGAGCAAGCCACGGCUAACUACGUG